Mercurialis annua (annual mercury) is the source of this 912-nucleotide long non-coding RNA. RefSeq lists it as uncharacterized. NCBI's taxonomy places the organism in Eukaryota, Viridiplantae, Streptophyta, Magnoliopsida, Malpighiales, Euphorbiaceae. The transcript is spliced from 8 exons. The record is from RefSeq and is a predicted model, not a curated record.
UUGAAGCUGAAUGCAUUGGAUUAGAAAUUCGUGUAGUUAGCAAUGAUAGUCGCGAGAAGGUAUUUACUUCCUAAUCAAAUUUAAUAUCUUUGAGCAUUUCUUUGGAGUAUUAAUAUUCAUUUGGCUUGCUGAGUUCUAUUAUGUGUGUAAUCUUUUCAAAAACUUUCUUAUACACAUGUAUCGAUUUUAGUUGGUACUCUUGCUCUCGUUUGGCCCGAGAUGCCCCCGAAUAUAAAAAGGAUGGCUAUAAAAACUUUAAUACGUUCUACAUUCAAGCAGCUUCUGGACUAAGGGUGGUUCUAGCGGUUCACCGGUGAUUGAUCGGGUAGGCAGAUCUGUGGUCUUAAAUGCUGAAGCAAAACAUCAUCUUCAACAUCAGCCUAUUUUUGACCUUUAGAGCGAAUAAUAUGAUGCACUAGAGCAAUACAUCAUGAGUACACAAACUCCAUCAUCACCAUCUCCUCUUGCCAACAAUCUUGGUUGAAUUUGAGUUGUGAGCGACAAGGAUGCUUAAGAGAAUGUCAUUGUUAUCCAGCGCAUUAGUGAGAUACAUUCUGAAAAUCGGAACCAACAGAAGGAUAUGCAUACUGCGGGGCCAAAAAGUUUUGCUAGAAUAAGAAAAAAAUUGCAAGAUGAAAAAGGAGGAUAAGGCUGAUCCGACUUUGACGAAAAUAUUCAUUGCCACAGACAAGAGAAAAGCGGGCCGUUCUUACAAGGAAUCAAGGGAAGACACAACUAGCAAAAUUGAUUUUAUGAAGAUACUUGUGGAAAUGAUUCCGUAAAGAAAAGGCGUUCAAUGUUUUGUAGUAUAAUCGUUAUCUUUUUGUGAUGUAAUGGAUUGAUGGGAUAUUUUUAGACUUUGAAUGUUAUGAAUAUUUUCCGUCUUCUAAUUUUAGUGAAUAUUUUAUGUUA